AGAGUUUGAUCAUGGCUCAGAUUGAACGCUGGCGGCAUGCCUUACACAUGCAAGUCGAACGGCAGCAUAGGAGCUUGCUCCUGAUGGCGAGUGGCGAACGGGUGAGUAAUAUAUCGGAACGUGCCCUAGAGUGGGGGAUAACUAGUAGAAAGACUAGCUAAUACCGCAUACGAUCUACGGAUGAAAGUGGGGGAUCGCAAGACCUCAUGCUCCUGGAGCGGCCGAUAUCUGAUUAGCUAGUUGGUGGGGUAAAAGCCUACCAAGGCAACGAUCAGUAGCUGGUCUGAGAGGACGACCAGCCACACUGGGACUGAGACACGGCCCAGACUCCUACGGGAGGCAGCAGUGGGGAAUUUUGGACAAUGGGGGCAACCCUGAUCCAGCAAUGCCGCGUGAGUGAAGAAGGCCUUCGGGUUGUAAAGCUCUUUUGUCAGGGAAGAAACGGUAGUAGCGAAUAACUAUUACUAAUGACGGUACCUGAAGAAUAAGCACCGGCUAACUACGUGCCAGCAGCCGCGGUAAU
Molecule: ribosomal RNA, 523 nt
Filed under: uncultured bacterium
Lineage: Bacteria
Description: bacterial SSU rRNA
Rfam family: Bacterial small subunit ribosomal RNA
Source: RNAcentral